UUUUUUUUUUUUUUUUUUUUUUUUUUAUAGAAUACCAUCAAUGUACUAGGAGAGGACAUGGAUGAUAUGGAUGAUGACAAGCCUUUCCAAGCAGGACACAAAAUCUCAGGAGAAAAGGGAUAAAUUGACUGUAAAAAAGGUAAAAAUUUGGAAGAAAAUACACCUCUAGUGUUAGGAAAAUAGAUUUGCUGUACCUGACAGCAAAUUCCCUUCACGUGAAUGGCAAAAAUCAAAGGUUGAUGGAUACUCCUCUCUCCCUUGCAGCUGGCUUUAGAAAACUCUAUUCAUUCUGAUGGUGAGCAUGUCAACUGGCUCAGCCUUCAGAGGGCAACUUGAAAAAUCACUCAGAUUUUUAAACAUCCAUACCUUUUUUUUUUUUUUUUUUAAGAUUUUAUGUAUUUAUUCAUGAGAGACACAGGCAGAGGAAGAAGCAGGCCCCAUGCAGGGAGCCUGACGUGGGACUCGAUCCCAGGUCCGCAGGAUCACACCCUGGGCUAAAGGUGGUGCUAAACCGCUGAGCCACCCGGGCUGCCCAGAUUUUAUUUAUUCAUCAGAGACAGAGACACGCAAAGAGAGAGGCUCCCUGCAGGAAGCUUGAUGCAAAAAAAAAAAGGAAGCUUGAUGCAGGGCUCAAUCCUGGGACCCCGGGGAUCAUGACCUGAGCUAAAAGCAGAUGCUCAACUACUGAGGCACCCAGGUGCCCCUAACAUCCAUACCUUUUGAUAAGCAUUUCACUUUAGUGAAAUCCUCCCACAUAUUCUCAGAAUCAACAUAAUCCUGCUGUAGGAUUGUAUAGCAAAAAAUUGUAAAUAGCCCAGAUGCCCAUCAAUAGGCAAGAUGUUGAAUAAGCUAAUCAUAAAUACCACUGAAUAUCAUGUAGCCUUCAAGAAACAAAAGGUAGAUCUAUGUGAACCAGCAAGGAGUGAUACCCAAUAUAUGUUGUCUGCCAGUGAAACAUUCAAAUGCAGAACAGUUUGUAUAACAUUUCAUCAUUCGUUUUUUAAAAAACAGGAGGAAGUUGGUUUCCAAUAAUGAUGGUUACUGAGAAUAACUGUAAUACCAUGAUACAGAUGGUGGAUGGUGGGAGCUGGUUUUCUCACUGUUGGGAGUGGGAGGUUACAGAUAAGCAGGAGUGAGGAGGCUAGGAUGAUUCACAUGGUAAUGAAUUACAGUUGGACAUACCAGCAUAAAUUCAUGUUUCAUUUAAUACUGAUACAGAUGAUCCUAUAGAGAAAUAUUUCUAGUUAUGUGUCUAUGUCCUUGAACUAAGGACUGAAAGGGCCAAGAAGCAAGGACACUGCAGUAGCAACAAGCAUACUUAGUUUCAGGUUUCUAAUAUUCUCCAGUGAAAGGAGUCACAUCUCCUCAGAGAAAUGGCAGAUUCCAGAGCCAGGGCAGAAAAAGAACAAUACAUGCCUGGGGAACACUGAGUGUCAGGAAAUGCAGAAGUACUAAACAAAAACCAAUGAUAAAGAUGGGGUUAUAGCAAAGGGACAGAAAAGCCGACUGCAAAGACUUUUCUGAAUGGCCAAAACUAAAACAAUUUCAGCAACAAAAUAAAGGGGUAUUGGAUUAUAAUCCAAAGUAUAAAAUAAAUAUCCUUGAGUCUCCACUGACAUAAACAGGAGAGACUAGAAAUCUCCCAUGCAGAAGAAAUCCAGGUAAUUUCUGUAGAUAACCCUCCCUUCGGGGAGGUGAAGGCAUAACUCCCGUUCCUUAAGUAUGAGCACUGCAGAGUGACCUCCUCCCUAGAGUACAUGUAAGUAUGGAUGGGAGAAAGUAACCCACAAUGGAGAAACCUACAGACACUACCUCAGCCAAGUGAUGUCAUUUUGAGAGCAUGUACCCUUGAUCUGAAGUGAUGAGAGUGGCAUUUUACCUGUGGUCUUCCUCUCCAAAACACAUAACCUCGGUCUAAUCAAAGAGAAAACGUCUGAUAAAUCCCAAAGACACUCUGCAAAAUACCUGACUGUUAUUCCUUAAAAGUACUGAAGUCAUCAAAAACAAGGAAAAUCAGAAACUAUCACAGCCAAGAAGAGCCUAAGGAUACAUGACAACUAAAUGUACUCUAUGGGAUCCUGGAACAGAGAGAGGCAAAAACCAAAGAAAUCUGAAUGAACUAUGAACUUUAGUUAAUAAUAACUUAGAUAUAGAUCAAAAAACACCCCAGCUAACUUUGUUUAGAGGAAAAUAAAUAUACUUGAAAAUCUGCAGGAGAUGGAAAAUUAUAAGUAAAUAUAUAGAGCAGAUAAAAAAAAUCAAAUGGAAUCCUAGAAAUGAAAAGCACAAUCACCAAAAUUAAAAACUAGGUGAAUUGAUGUGGCUUCAGAGUGGACAAAGCAAAAUAACGAAGUGGAAGAUAGAUAAGAAAUUAACCAGAAUACAGAGGCAAAAACAAAAACAAACCUGGAAGAUACGGAAGAAAGCUGAAAAUACCUGGAAGAUAGACUGAGAAAAGUGACAAAGCCAAACAGAAGGUAUUAUUUGAAGAAAUGAUGACUGAGGAUUUCCUAGAACUGAUAAAAGAUAGCAAUCCACAGAUGCAAGAAUCCCAACAAAUCCCAAAUAGGACAAAUUAUAGGAAAUCCAGCUGUGGACAUGGUAUAGUGAACUCCAUAAAACCAAAGACAAAGAGAAAAUCUUAAAAGCAGCAGAGGAAAAAUAAAUAAAGCCAUUCCUUUACCUUUAUAGUAGUGAUACUUGCUGGCUUUCACAGGAUCAAUGGAGGCCAGAAAAUGAGUGAUGGCUUCAUGGGCUGAAAGAAAUUACUCGCAACCUAGACUUCUAAACCUGGAAAAAAACAUACAGUAUUUAAAGAAUCAAGGUAAAAUAAAGAUAUUUUCAGACAAACAAGAACUGAGAGCUCUUCACCAACAGACUCACACUAAGGAAAAUUCUAGGUGAGCUCAGAGGUAAUUGCUCUAAAUGGCCUGGGGUCUCUGUCACCCAGGAGCACAGUAAAGAUACUGGCCAGCUUUGGAUGUAGAUAGACUACAGACAUGUUGCUUUCCUCCAGUAAGCAGAAGACAGACAUAGACAACACUAACAAAUCAACAAAA
This 3059-nucleotide long non-coding RNA is filed under the name Canis lupus familiaris (dog). RNAcentral describes it as "lncRNA (ENSCAFG00845027837.1)". Lineage: Eukaryota; Metazoa; Chordata; Mammalia; Carnivora; Canidae. The record is from RNAcentral.